RNAcentral lists this long non-coding RNA (500 nucleotides) under Mus caroli (Ryukyu mouse). RNAcentral's name for it is "lncRNA (MGP_CAROLIEiJ_G0003425.1)". The record is from RNAcentral. Lineage: Eukaryota; Metazoa; Chordata; Mammalia; Rodentia; Muridae.
UGCUGCGGCUCCUGAAAUCCUCCGGUGUGAACUCCCAGGGCUGUUGAUGCUUCAUCUACUCUUCUGGCAGUGGGGGCCUGGACCUUAGUUACCCGGGGAGCUCACACCAGAAGAGGGCAUUGGAUCCCACUAUAGACUGUUGUGAGCCACCUUGUAGUUGCUGGGAAUUGAACUCAGAAACUCUGGAAGAGCAGUUGAUGCUCUUAACUGCUGAGUCAUCUCUCCAGCCCCAGGUGUUCUGCCCAGUUUAUAGAACAAGGAAUUGGAGCUUGGAGAAGAUUGAUGGACCACUCAAGUUCCCUGGAUGGUCCAGGAUUCAGACUGAGGAUGGCCUAAAACGUUAGUUUUGCUGGCUCCCUGUGCUUGGCUAACCUUAGAGCCUCUUACCUUACCAUAGUCUUUUCUAUGAAGGACAGAGAUCCAAGGAGUGGAUCAACAUGCCUGAGUUUACACAGUGGACCUGAGGACCUUCACCUCCCAGUGCAAUGCUCCUGUGUACU